This 1941-nucleotide long non-coding RNA is filed under the name Marmota monax (woodchuck). The record is from RNAcentral. Lineage: Eukaryota; Metazoa; Chordata; Mammalia; Rodentia; Sciuridae.
UGAUUUGUCCCCUAACUUCCGGGCCUCCCCAAUUAAGACUGCCCUUGUGCCUCCUGCUUCACUUCUACUUGGCGAGAACCUACUGCUGGCCUGGAGUUCUUUCCCCAGUCUAUUCCAUCUGCUUUCACCCUCCGCCAGAGUGCCCCGGGUCCAGCUGGAUUCCCCUGCCCUCAGGCGCCCCCAAGUCCUUAUCCUUAACACCUCUGAAAGUCAGCCUUCCUUUCCCCACCCCUUUGCUUAAGCCCUGGUUAAGCCCUCAGCCUGUUCAUCCACGACCUCGCCUCAAGCCUCAAGCCGCUCGCACGGAGCCUCUUUCAGCACCCUCCUCUGGGUGUCAUCUGCUCUAGAUUCUGUACCCUACCUCAGGAAGGCGUUCAACUCCUUGAGAAGAUAUUGCAUGCCUUUCGCUAUAUGUCCCUGGUCUUGCCUGUCUCCCCACUACCCUUCCAACCUUAAUUAGCUACCCUGUUCCCACACAGCACUACUUAACCACACGGUUAAGUUCAACCGGAGACACACCAUAGCAAGUCUAGAUUCUCACAGAAAUCAGGCCUGUUGACUUGUAAACAGCCCCCAUUCCUGUCUAUCAGGCAAACCAUUAGCUCCCUGCAGGUACCACCCACCCUUCUUUGCUGGGUCCUAACCACAAAAAUCACAGAAUUUCUGUACAACUCUGGUGACCCAGCCAGCUGCAGGUUUGUCUCAGGUUGGCUUGAGCCCAAGUUGGGGCCUGGAACCUUCUCAGGCACUGAUUAAGACAUAUAGAUUGUUGUCCAAAACACAAGCUGGCUAGGAGCCUGAGCCAAAAUUCCCUAAACCCACAUGUAAGCUCCAUACUGUGGCCCCUUGCUGAGGACACCCCUUUCCUCUCCAUGUCUGUCUCAAGGAGGAGCUGCAGCACUCUGAAGUUUCCCUAAUAAGCUUUGGGCUGUUCACCCUGGCAGUUAGUGCUUCUUCUGGAAUCCCAACAGGCUCAUCUAGGGAUGGUUUUCACCCUUGGAGUUCCUUGUGGGAACUACCCUGCCCAUUUAAUCAGGAGAAAGCAUCCCUUUUUGAUGGUCCCCUGCUUCUCUAGGGGAGUCAGCAAGCCCUACCCUCAGUGUCCCUUACACUGACAUCUGUAUACCAGCACUCCCUGCCCUGAGAUGAUGUGACUCUCUAUGCCCCCCACCCAGUACUCUAAGCUGACCUCACUAGCACAGCACUUAUUACCUGUGACUGACCAAAUGGGUGACAAUCCAAGCGUGUAAUUACACCUUACCAGCUUCCCAAACCUUUAGUGGCAGAGCAUCAACCCAUGAUAUAUUGACAAUAAUUGUCACUUUCCCUCAUUCUAGGACAGGGUUUCCUUUGACCUCAAUCUGAAGCACACUCAUUUAUUUUCCUUUGAAGAGUUACCAAAUGUCAAACUGUGGGUAAGAGUGUGGAAAUUUCACUGGGCAUUUCUCUAUCCAGUAGACACCUGUUUGCCCCUUGGCCAGAUCACUAAUACCAACAUAUAGUUCAAUACUAACCCUCUCCAACAUCUCUCCUUUCCUUCCUGGAAAGACCUUCCUUAACAAGAAGCUAUAGCACUCCUGCCUCACUACCCACAUUCUGCAAAGUUUCAGGUAGGUGCUGGUACUGUCAUCCCACACCCUAAAACAGGACAUGCUUUGCAUGAAAUUGAAAUGCAUCUAGCCUCCAGCUGCCCCAAAAGAAGGCAGCUCUAUCCCAACCAUCCUCCUCCUACUUUCCCUUGCUCUCUAUUGCCCCUUCCAGCCAGAUGAACAAAUACUAAGCAAGAAACCCUGCUUAAGUUUAUGGCAAAAAUCAGUUGUCUUUCAAUAUUCAUUCUCACUUUCUAGUUCACCUUUUUCCAAGGUAGAACUACUGAGUUUCUUUGUUUUUUUUUUAAGAUAGAGAAGAGAGAAUUUUUUAAUAUUUAUUUUUCAGUUUUCA